Molecule: long non-coding RNA, 1099 nt
Filed under: Betta splendens (Siamese fighting fish)
Lineage: Eukaryota; Metazoa; Chordata; Actinopteri; Anabantiformes; Osphronemidae
Description: lncRNA (ENSBSLG00000015300.1)
Source: RNAcentral
UUUAGCAAACAAACAGUUCUCUGUUUAAGGAAAUAAGGAAAUAAGGAAAUUAUUAUAACUACAUAUUGCCUAUUGCCAUUAAUUGCCAUUAAUCUUCACAGAUUCCUUCAAGUUCCAGAGUGUCUGGGACUGCUGCAGUCUGUGAAGGAACACCCAGACCUUUUCAACCUUUUUUUUUCUCAAAAAAAGUAAAAAAUGUCACUGCUGAAAGCUUAAUUGAGCUGUUCAAGCCAUGCUUUGCUCAUACUGGCAGCAACAGGAGGAGGGCUGAAGCAAAAGCUUAUAGAUUCUUCAAGGACUGGCUGCUAAAUGUUGAGUCAAUGGAGAGGUAUGCGGUGCACUGCCUUAUUUGCAACCAUCCUCAGAAAUGCAUGACAUCCCCACCUGAAGAGGGUCUGCAUGAGAGGAAGCGCCCAGCAGAGAGGGAAGAAUGUGGGACUUUACUGACCUGGAGGAGUAUUGUAAAGAUCUGGCAGUAUGCCAGAAUUUACGCAGCGUCCUCCAGAGCAGGGGCUUCAUAAUCGUUAACAGUCCUGAAGCAGACAGACAGAGGCCAGUCUCUGGGUAUAGUCUCUGGCACUCCCUCAGAGGAAAGGGUGCAGUUGGCGUUGGACAAAGAGACGAUGUGGACCAUCAACCCAAAGUCCAAGACAUUAUGAGGGCCUAGGUUGCACCACCAGAACAGCAACUCCAUAAAAGGAAAUCCGUCAUCGCUUCAAUCGUGUAAUAGAAGUGGAAGGGCCUAGCCUUAAGGGAUUUUGAAGCCAUGAAGGGAAGGGGUAAGCAUGCAGCUGAGUCAUGUGCCGUGGUAUGUGAUGCAGCGCUUUGAGUACCACUAUGUAGACCAGCGCUAUACAAGUCUCUUACCAUAUUUCCUCAUAAAUGGCCUAAAUCUUUUAUUCAUUCUUCAAUUUGUUCACAGGCGUUGUAGCGAAUAUGCCCUUCAGCAAAUGAGAUGUGAUCUGUGAUUACCACGGCACCAUAACUUCAGAAGAAGGGAGGCAGAAGGAGCAGUCUGGCUUCCUCUUUUUCUUUAAGGGACAGAAGGGGGACGCGCUCUGCUGUGACGCCACUGCAUCCUCAUGCACAUGCCAUCCUG